UUAAUACCGGAUAGAUCAAAGAUACUGGAAUGUUCUCUGGUCGAAAACUCCGGUGCCCAAGGAUGGGUCUGCGGCCUAUCAGGUAGUAGUGGGUGUAACGUACCUACUAGCCAGCGACGGGUAAGGGUUGUGAGAGCAAGAGCCCUGAGAUGGAUUCUGAGACAUGAAUCCAGGCCCUACGGGGUGCAGCAGGCGCGAAAACUUUACACUGCGGGAAACCGCGAUAAGGGGACCCCGAGUGCCAGCACCUAGUGCUGGCUGUCCAGCUGUCCAAAUAACAGUUGUUAGCAAGGGCCGGGCAAGACCGGUGCCAGCCGCCGCGGUAACACCGGCGGCCCGAGUGGUAGCCGUUAUUAUUGGGUUUAAAGGGUCCGUAGCCGGCCUGUUAAGUCUCUUGGGAAAUCUGGCGACUCAAUCGUCAGGCGUUCA
RNAcentral lists this ribosomal RNA (429 nucleotides) under uncultured archaeon. RNAcentral's name for it is "bacterial SSU rRNA". It matches the Rfam family "Archaeal small subunit ribosomal RNA", at positions 146 to 576 of the family's 1478-position model. The record is from RNAcentral.